RNAcentral lists this ribosomal RNA (294 nucleotides) under Escherichia coli. RNAcentral describes it as "partial 23S ribosomal RNA". It matches the Rfam family "Bacterial large subunit ribosomal RNA", at positions 2652 to 2925 of the family's 2925-position model. The record is from RNAcentral. Lineage: Bacteria; Pseudomonadati; Pseudomonadota; Gammaproteobacteria; Enterobacterales; Enterobacteriaceae.
CUGGAGAACUGAGGGGGGCUGCUCCUAGUACGAGAGGACCGGAGUGGACGCAUCACUGGUGUUCGGGUUGUCAUGCCAAUGGCACUGCCCGGUAGCUAAAUGCGGAAGAGAUAAGUGCUGAAAGCAUCUAAGCACGAAACUUGCCCCGAGAUGAGUUCUCCCUGACCCUUUAAGGGUCCUGAAGGAACGUUGAAGACGACGACGUUGAUAGGCCGGGUGUGUAAGCGCAGCGAUGCGUUGAGCUAACCGGUACUAAUGAACCGUGAGGCUUAACCUUACAACGCCGAAGCUGUU